UACGGAGGGUGCGAGCGUUGUCCGGAAUCACUGGGCGUAAAGGGCGCGUAGGCGGCCUGAUAAGUAGGGGGUGAAAUCCUGCGGCUUAACCGCAGGGCUGCCUUCUAAACUGUCAGGCUAGAGCACAGUAGAGGCAGGUGGAAUUCCCGGUGUAGCGGUGGAAUGCAUAGAGAUCGGGAAGAACAUCAGUGGCGAAGGCGGCCUGCUGGGCUGUUGCUGACGCUGAGGCGCGACAGCGUGGGGGAGCAAACAGG
This 254-nucleotide ribosomal RNA is filed under the name uncultured bacterium. RNAcentral describes it as "partial 16S ribosomal RNA". It matches the Rfam family "Bacterial small subunit ribosomal RNA", at positions 524 to 776 of the family's 1533-position model. The record is from RNAcentral.